GAUGAACGCUGGCGGCGUGCUUAACACAUGCAAGUCGAACGGAAAGGCCUCAGCUUGCUGGGGUACUCGAGUGGCGAACGGGGGAGUAACACGUGGGUGAUCUGCCCUGCACUUUGGGAUAAGCUUGGGAAACUGGGUCUAAUACCGAAUAUGACCACUUCUCGGAUGUUGUGGUGGAAAGCUUUUGCGGUGUGGGAUGAGCCUGCGGCCUAUCAGCUUGUUGGUGGGGUAAUGGCCUACCAAGGCGGCGACGGGUAUCCGGCCUGAGAGGGUGUACGGACACAUUGGGACUGAGAUACGGCCCAGACUCCUACGGGAGGCAGCAGUGGGGAAUAUUGCACAAUGGGCGCAAGCCUGAUGCAGCGACGCCGCGUGGGGGAUGAAGGCCUUCGGGUUGUAAACUCCUUUCGCUAUCGACGAGGCCACUUGUGGUGACGGUAGGUAGAUAAGAAGCACCGGCUAACUACGUGCCAGCAGCCGCCGUAA
Molecule: ribosomal RNA, 486 nt
Filed under: uncultured bacterium
Lineage: Bacteria
Description: partial 16S ribosomal RNA
Rfam family: Bacterial small subunit ribosomal RNA
Source: RNAcentral